GGACUGUUUGACUUCUUGGGGAAAAAAGAGGAAGUGAAACCUCAAGAGACGACGACACUUGAGUCAGAGUUUGAGCACAAGGCUCAGGUCUCGGAACCGCCGGCGUUUGUGGCGAAGCACGAAGAAGAGGAAGAGAGGGAGCAUAAGCCUACUCUCCUCGAGAAGCUUCACCAUAAGCACGAGGAAGAAGAAGAAGAGAACAAACCUAGUCUCCUCCAGAAGCUUCACCGAUCCAAUAGCUCUUCCUCUGUAAGUAACGUAUACAGUCCGUAAGGACCAGUGCUGAGAUGAUAUUUGUGGGGUUUGAAACAGUUACUAAACAUAUGUUUUAAUUAAUUAUUUGGAGGCUGAGUGACACAUUUAUAUUAACCACCAAUAUUAGGAACCAUAGACGAAUGUUUUUUUUUUUUUUGAAACUGAACCAUAAACGAAUGUUUUAUUUCGCUAUGCACAAAACUGCUCCGAGUGUUAUAUAAAAUUAUUUAUAAAACUUAGAUUAGUGUUAUACUAGUUAUUAGUUAAAUCUCUAUUAACCCGAGUGUGUUGAUUUCUAACAGUCAAGCGAUGAAGAAGGAGAAGAUGGUGAGAAGAGGAAGAAGGAGAAGAAGAAGAUCGCUGAAGAAGAUGAGAAAACAAAGGAAGAUAGAAAAGGGGUAAUGGAGCAGAUCAGGGAGAAGUUUCCACACGGAACAAAGACAGAGGAUGACACUCCAGUCAUCGCCACCCUGCCGGUGAAGGAGGAAACGGUAGAGCAUCCGGAGGAGAAGAAAGGACUGAUGGAGAAGAUCAAGGAGAAGCUUCCAGGUCACAGCGAGAAACCAGAGGAUUCUCAAGUGGUCGACACGGCGGCUGCAGUACCAGUGACGGAGAAAACGGCGGAGCAUCCGGAAGAGAAGAAAGGACUGAUGGGGAAGAUCAAAGAGAAGCUCCCAGGUUAUCACGCCAAGAGCACUGAAGAGGAGGAGAAGAAGAAAGAAAAGGAGUCCGAUGAUUUAGAAGGAUGAAAUAAUAUAAUGGUGUGGGACAUUUGCUGUGUUUCUUUGAUGGUUUUCUCUUUAAUCUUUAUGAUGUUCUGUAAGAUUUGUGUUUUUCGUUGAUUUGCAUUUGCACCUUUAUAUUGUAAUUUCAUUAUCUCUUUUAUAAAGUUUGUAUUGUGUUUCUAAGUAACGUUUAUGUGUGUAACUCUUCGUAUACAGUUGGUUCCUAGUUAUGGUAACCACAUGAUCACCUUAGAAUCGCGGCAAGAGUUUCACAUGAUGACAUAUAUAAUAGGAAAAAGACGUAAAAACAAAUACUAAAUCCUAACACCAUCCAGCAGAGCAAAAAAAACUAUACUACGAAUUACGAAUAUUAAACUAGUUCAAAUAUGUCCCCAUCUGGCUUCUUAAGAUCUUGGACAUGUAAACCCCACUCACCACACACACAACUAAAGCAAUUAUUUCUCAAGAAGUCAAGAUGAAUCUGUCAUGACCCAAUCCCAUUAUCAAGCCCACAAAUGCAAACCCGUCAAGGCCCAAGCCCAGUUGAAAUAGCCAAGGUAUUUUCUAUAAAUAUCCACUCCCAUAACUUUGUUUUCUCCACCAAGUAUCAAAAAAGUUUUGGAGAGAGAGAGAGCUAAGGGGAAGUGUGAUCAUUUUGUAGUGGGAGAGUCACCAGAGCUCGUCGCCGGAGCCACCGUGUGCCGUGAUCAAGCCCAGCUCGUCACCACCGAUCGUCACCUUAGGUAACUGCCGGAAACCGUUUGCCUUUUAAGUUUCGUUUCGGCCGUUUUAAUAAAUCAUCCAUAACUUCCUAACCGUUAAGAAUUUCGUGCAUGCAAUACCACCAUCGUGUUCCUCACGUCGAGACAAAUCCGUAGACACCAACCGCGCUGCAAUCGGAGUCCGGACGAGCCCUCACGCGCCUCCGGAAGAUCUCCCUUCGCGCGCGAGUGAAACGCUCGCGCCGCCGUCACCGACGCCAGCUCGCCGAAGCCGCCGUGCCCGGCCGCCGUCAGUCCGCCGCUGGGAAGCCGCAGCCGCGUCGCCACAGCGCCUCCGCGUUGCCACAGCGCCUCCGCUGUCGCCGGUGACUUUGCCGGUAAGCCACCGCUCCUCCGCCGUCGCCGCCAGUGACUCACCGGCAACUCGCCAACUCGACCGAAUCGACUCGAUGAGUCAACUUGGUGACUCGGUUAACCGGUUGGUUACGUUAAACCGAUCGGUUAAAAUCAAUUAGAAUUCGGUUAGGUUAAACCGGUUAUUUUAAUUAAUUAAUUAAUUUCGGUUAAGUAAACCGGAUGAUCCAAUUAAAAAUUGAUUGGUUUAAAUUAAUUUCAGUCUGGUCAAGGGUUGACCGGCUUGGGUCAGAGUUGACCGGGUUGACCUUUGACCAGCGGGUUGACUUUCCCGUAGUCACCCGUUUUUGGUCGUUCAAAGGGUGUUCUGACUCGAAAUUUCGAUCUGAUUUCAGAUUUGGAGUCUAUUUGAGCAGCUGGAGUUCAUAGAUACCACUUCUCUUCAUUGCUAAGGUGAGAGAUUCUCUGUUUAAAUCCUGAACUAGUUUAGUACUACCGUUAUGGAAAGUCUAGUUUCGAAACAUGAUCCGUCUCUGUGAAUCGAGUCUGUUUGAGAGUCUUGCUUGUUCACUAAUGUUAUUAAUUGUUAAACCGGAAAUAGGAUAAUAAAUGAUUCAAUGGUUGAUUGAAAUGAUUGAUGUUAAGAACUGUUAAUUAUAUAUAUAUAUGUAUAUAUGUUAGUCCAUGUGUUGAGAUUGCAUGGUGCAGAGGUGAUUGCACUAGGCCGCGGGAUUUGCGGGGUACAAAUACGUUUGUACUAGGCCGCCUGUUUGAGAGAUCACGGGGUACGGAAAUAUCUGUACUAGGCCGUGUGUUUAGCAGGGUACAGAGACGUUUGUACUAGGUCGCUUGUUUGUGGAUAUUGCGGGGGUAUAGAGUGGACUACUGUACUAUCUACGCCUGUAGAGUUAUAUAUAUAUAUCUUUAUGAGGAAAUGCUAUUAUCGCAUUGAUUGUAGCAUGUCUAGUCCACUAGACAUAUGUGAUUGUUCUGUGUGGUGUAAUAGACACCGUGUUUGCUUCAUGCUAGAGCUAGGCCUACAUAGUUGUAGUGCUAUGAACUGAGUUAGUGGUUUGUGGUUUAGCAUCCCAUACCUCACUGGGCGAUUCCCCCGUCGCUCACCCCUCCUUUUUUUCCCCUUUGAGGUGAGACCGACGAGCAGGAGUGAUUAUACCGGACCGGUGCUUUUGGGCUUUUACUACUAUCGAGCUUUAGACUUCUAUCACUCUUAUCGUUUUAUCGCUUUUGGGCAUUUGGGCUUCUAUCUAUCGUUUAUGUUAUUUCGUAUUUCGGACUUUCGGUUUAUGCCGUACUUUAUAUUUCGGAUGUUAUCGUUGUUGGGCCUUUAGGCCUUAUGGUAUCGUAUUGACUUUUAUAUUAUGAUAUGGAGAUUAUUAUUAUUAUUUCCGCUUGUAUUUAUUUAUUAUAUCUCGGAAGUGACGGGUGCCAAAAUUUUGGUAUCUGAGCGGGGUUCCGUCCCGGCUCCGACCUGGGAUGGCGAUUUUGGAGUCCUGGUUUUAUUCGGUUUUAUUCGGUUUAAACAGUUUUAGACGAUUUCAAAAUAUUUUCGGGGAUUUGGGAAUUUUGAAAAUGAAAAUAAAUAGCACCUUUCCGUUCGGUAUCACUCCUUCUUAAAUGUUGGUCUCCAGAGUUCGACAUAAGUUAACCUUUUUGCUUUCCUUUCUGAUGCCGUCCAGGAAGAGAGUUGUUCGUACUCAGACCACCAGAGUUGCUAGAGAGGCUGAGGAUGAGCAUGUUCAGCCCGCAGUUCCACAGCAGGCGGCUCCACCUAUUGAUCAUGAUGCUCUGAGACAGAUGGUUCAGGAUGCGGCUAGGAAGGCUGCACAGGAGGUAGUCCAGCUAGCUGCCCAGGAGGCUGCCCGAGUAGCUGCUCAGGAGGUUGGCAGAUAGAUGGCUGCAGCUCAGUAGGGUCAGGAGAUUCCACAUGGUCCUCAGGUUCAGGUGCAGCAGGGUCCUCAGAUUCACAUGCAGCAGGCUCCACCAGUUCAGGUUCAUCAUGAUCAUUAGGUUCCACAUCAGCAGGCUCCAUCUCAGCAGUAUCCUCAGGUUCCCGUUCAGCCGGUUCCAGGAGUUUUUCAGGUCUCACCGCCGCCGCCUGCUUUCCCACUUCAGGUGCCCGAGGUUGAUGAGACAUUUAUCAAGGUGUUGGGACAUAUGAAGUAUGUGAGUUUGGAGCAUUUAACUGGAACAACGGAACCUACAGUUGCUCACGAUUGGAAGCAUAGUCACGAUUGGAAGCACAGUUUGAAUAAGUGUUUGAAGACCAUCUCGUGCCCACCAAGGCUCAAGCUUAACAUCGCUGAGUUGUAUUUACGUGGAGACGCAUCAAUCUGGUGGGAUGGAGUGAGAUUGAUGCACCGUGACGAGCUGACAUAUGAUGAUUUUCUUUACGCGUUCAACAAUAAGUAUUUUCUGAGGGAAGCUUUGCGUGAGAAGAAUAAGGAUUUCGAGCAUUUGAGGCAUGGUGUAGAGUCUGUUAGGGAGUAUGAGCGGGAGUUUAACCAACUCCGCAGGUUUGUGUGUAACAGCAUAGAUGAGGAUGAUCUGAUCAGGAGGUUCUAAGAUGGGAUGCGUGUGAAACUUCGCGGUAGGUGUAGUGUGGUUACCUACACCAGUUUGGAGGAUCUGGUAGAGAAGGCUGCUGUGCAGGAGUUAUGUAUGGUAGAGAAGCAGAAGUACUCCAAGGCAGCUCAGCCUAAGACCGGAGGGACUUCAGGGUCACAGAAGAGGACCUUGGAGCAGGAUGGGGCAUCCCGUUGUGGGCGUUGUCGUCGCCAGCAUUUUGAAAAGUGUCUCCAGUGCUUUAACUGUGGUCUGUUUGGGCAUAUUUCAAAGAAUUGUAGGAAGCCGCCACGUACUCAGGUUGCAGCGCCAGCAGCGGCAGUAGCACCAGCAGUGGCAGCGAGGAACUGUUACGGCUGUAACCAGCCGGGUCACAUCUACAGAGAUUGUCCGAGGAGGGGAAAUGCAGCGCUUCCACCACCACCGAAGCGUCCAGCCAUCGCUCCACGUGUGUUUGCGGUUGGAGAUCCUCAGGGAGCUGAGCCGAUAGCGGGUAUGUGUCUUUUCCAUUCUUGUUUGUGUUUGAGUAAAUUAGUCUAUGGUUAUCAUGUGUAGUUAGUAAAAAUCUCGUGUAGGAUUGGUUUCGGUUGGAGGAGAGUCAGCUCACACCUUAUUCGACACCGGAGCCUUUCAUAGUUUUGGGAGUCCACGCUUAGCCUAGUCUUGGUCUUUUCGGGGUGUCUUCGAACCGAAGGCUAAGAAGAUUCAGACUGCCGGCACGGAGAAGUUGGGAGCAAUUGGCAUUCAUCGCGAUGUACCAGUUAUUCUUAGAGGAGUUGAGUUGCUCGAAGAUUUGACGGAGCUUGAGAUGAGCUUCUACGAUGUUAUACUUGGGAUGGAUUGGUUGUCGCGACAUCGAGUAGUCUUGGAUUGUCCGAAGGCAAGAGUUAAUAUCCCUAGAGCAGAAGGGAAGAUCAUUUACGAGGGCAUUCAGACACACCAGGAAAUUCCUAUCGUCUCCAUGUUGUGUGCAGAGGAAUUAUUAGAGGGUGGAGCAGAGGGAUUUUUGCCAACCAUUUUGAUGGUUAAGGAGGACGGUCAGCAGGAGCUGCAUGAUAUUCCAGUGGUCGCCGAGUACGAGGACGUUUUUGAGGCUUUAAAAGGGCCACCACCUGCUAGAGAUGACGUUCUUACGGUAGAAGUGGAACCAGGAGUAGCACCAGUUUCACGAGCUCCAUACCGUCUCGCACCAGCUGAGAUGGCGGAGUUAAAGAAGCAGUUGGAGGAGCUAUCUGAUAAGGGGUUUAUCAGACCGAGUACUUCACCGUGGGGAGCACCAGGGUUGUUUGUAAAGAAGAAAGAUGUGAGUUUCAGACUUGGUAUCGACUAUAGAGGUCUCAACAAAGUGACCAUCAAGAAUAAGUACCCACUCCCGCGUGUCGACGAGUUGUUGGAUCAGUUGCAGGGAGCUUCAUGGUUCUCUAAGAUUGACUUGGCAUCGGGAUACCACCAGAUUGCGAUAGCUGAGGGAGAUGUGCAGAAGACGGCAUUCCAUACACGUUAUGGACAUUUCAAUUUUGUGGUGAUGCCAUUUGGGUUGACGAACGCACCGGCAGCGUUCAUGAAGCUCAUGAAUGAUGUGUUUCAGAAGCACUUGGAUAAGUGUGUGAUCGUUUUCAUCGACGACAUCUUGGUUUAUUCUCGGAGUAGAGAAGAGCAUGCUGAGCAUUUGCGGAUUGUGUUGGGUAAGCUUUGGGAACAUCAGUUGUUUGCCAAGCUGAGUAAGUGUAGCUUUUGGCAGAGGAAGAUUGGAUUUUUGGGCCACGUGGUUUCAGAAGCAGGAGUUGCCGUAGAUCUGAAGAAGAUUACCGCCAUUUCAGAGUGGCCGACGCCAAAGAGUGCUACGGAGAUCCGCAGUUUUCUCGGUUUGGCGGGGUAUUACAGGAAGUUUGUCAUGGGUUUUGCUAGCAUUGCUAAGCCGAUGACGAAGCUUACGGGCAAAGACGUCAAGUUUGAUUGGUCAGAUAAUUGCUCGAGGAGUUUCACUUAGUUGAAGUGACAGUUGACACAGACGCCAGUUUUGGUACUUCCGAGGCCAGGGAUAUCAUAUGAGGUCUACACUGAUGCGUCAAGUACCGGAUUGGGAUGUGUAUUGAUGCAGGAGGGUCAGGUAAUUGCAUAUGCAUCACGUCAGUUGAGGCCUCACGAGGUCAAUUAUCCUACGCAUGACUUUGAGUUAGCGGCAGUUGUAUUUGCAUUGAAGAUCUGGAGAUCGUACUUGUAUGGGGAGAAGGUGAAGAUUCUCACAGAUCACAAGAGUCUGAAGUACAUCUUUACUCAGACGGAUUUGAAUUUGAGACAGCGCAGAUGGAUUGAGUUGUUAGCAGAUUAUAAUUUGGAGAUCGCUUAUCAUCCGGGAAAGGCUAAUCAAGUGGAAAAUUCCUUGAGUAGGCGCCAGAGCGAUGUAUCGGGAACCAAAGAGGUUCAAGAACUUACUGGGAUACUCGUUAGUCUCAGAUUGUGUGCUACUACUGUAGACGAAGAGUCAGCUGGCCUCGAGGCUGUUGAGCAGACAGAUAUGUUGUGUAGAAUACGCAAAGCUCAGGUUGCUGAUGAGGUUUUGUGUAAGCAGAUCGAGAUCGAGAGUGUUUGAUAUCAUACAACUUCGAGCGGGAUGUUCAUGUAUCGGAACCGGGUUUGUGUGCCCAAGGUUGAGCUGUUGAGAAAGGAAAUCUUGCAGCAGGCACACCACUCUCGUUUUUCUAUUCAUCCGGGGAAUACCAAGAUGUACAGAGAUCUGAAGCGUUACUACAAUUGGCCUGGUAUGAAGAAAGAUGUUGCUACUUUUGUAUCACAGUGUCAGACAUGUCAGUUGGUUAAGGCUGAGCAUCAGGUGCCUAGCAGGUUAUUGCAAAACCUGCCAAUGCCGGAAUGGAAAUGGGACAUGGUGACUAUGGAUUUUGUAUCAGGGUUACCGACCACUUCAGGAGGAAAGAAUGCGAUAUCGUUUAUCGUGGAUAGACUCACCAUGUCAGCCCACUUCUUGGCAAUUAAGAAAACAGACGGUGCGGAUAAGUUGGUGCAGAUCUACAUUAGCGAGAUUGUGAGAUUGCACGGAGUUCCCAUGAGCAUUGUAUCAGAUCGGGAUGUAAAGUUCACGUUUGAGUUUUGGAGAGCCUUUCAGAAGGCACUUGGGACAAAAGUCCAGAUGGUCAGUCAGAGAGGACUAUUCAGACUUUGGAGGAUAUGCUUCGGGCUUGUGUCUUAGAUUGGGAAGGAAGUUGGGUGAAGUAUCUACCUCUAGCCGAGUUUGCCUACAACAACAGUUAUCACUCGAGCAUUAAGAUGGCACCAUAAGAGGCUCUUUAUGGUAAGUCUUGUCGCACACCGCUUUGUUGGUCCGAAGUGGGGGAGCGAUGUAAAAUAGAACCAGCCAUGGUUCAAGUGGGGGAGCGAUGUGAAAUAGAACCAAACAUUGGCGACCUGGUAUACCUUAAAAUGAGAACAUUUCAGGGAGGAUCUAAAACUCGUAUGCUAAAGAAGCUUAAACCGAGAUAUAUGAGACCAUAUCCUAUUUUGGAGCGGAUUUGAGCAGUUGCUUACCGAUUAGGUUUAUCAGUAGAGUUAUCGGAUUUCCAUGAUGUGUUUCAUGUAUCAGUUUUGAGAGAGGUCGUGAGAGAGCCUGAACUCAUUUUGCCGCAUCCUCCCAGUGAUCUUGGCAAAAGUUUGUAUGCCGCGUGUCAGCCAGUGGAGAUUUUCGAUCGGCAAGUGACAGCAGAUAAGGGGAUGAUGACCAUGUUGGUUAGAGUUCGUUGGGAGAGAGACGAGAUUCAGGAGGAGACAUGGGAGCCUGAGCUAUAGAUGAAGAUUGAUUAUCCAUAGCUAUUUCAGGAUGUUAUUGAAGAGUCAGUUGGUGACUCGAAUUCGGGGUCGAAUUCCUUAUUAGUUGGGAAAAAUUGUCAUGACCCAAUCCCAUUAUCAAGCCCACAAAUGCAAACCCGUCAAGGCUCAAGCCCAGUUGAAAUGGCCCAAGGUAUUUUCUAUAAAUAUCCACUCCCAUAACUUUGUUUUCUCCACCAAGUAUCAAGAAAGUUUUGGAGAGAGAGAGAGAGAGAGAGAGAGUGAGCUAAGGGGAAGUGUGAUCAUUUCGUAGUGGGAGAGUCACCGGAGCUCGUUGCCGGAGCCACCGUGUGCCGUGAUCAAGCCCAGCUCGUCACCACCGAUCGUCACCUUAGGUAACCGCCAGAAACCUUUAGUUUCGGCCAUUUUAGUAAAUCAACAAUAACUUCCUAACCGUCAAGAAUUUCGUGCAUGCAAGACCACCAUCGUGUUCUCUCGUGGAAACAAAUCUAUAGACACCAACCGCGCUGCAAUCAGAGUCUGGACAAGCCCUCACGCGUGCCCGGCCGCCGCCGGGAAGCCGCCGCUACGCCUCCGCCGCCGCCGGUGACUUUGCCGGUACGCCACCGCUCCUCCGCCGUCGCCACCGGUGACCUGCCGGAAACUCGCCAACUCAGCCGAGUCGACCCGGUGAGUCAACUCGAUGACUCGGUCAACCGGUUGGUUAAGUUAAACCGAUCGGUUAAAAUAGAUUGGAAUUCAGUUAGGUUAAACCGGUUAUUUUAAUUAAUUAAUUAAUUUUGGUUAAGUAAACCAGUUGAUCCAAUUAAAAAUUGAUUCCGGUUAAGGAAAACCGAUUGGUUUAAAUUAAUUUCAGUCUGGUCAAGGGUUGACCGGCUUGGGUCGGAGUUGACCGGGUUGACCUUUGACCAGCGGGUUGACUUGAGCAGCGGGUUGACUUUCCCGUAGUCACCCGUUUUUGGUCGUUCAAUGGAUAUUCUGACUUGAAAUUUCGAUCUGAUUUCAGAUUUGGAGUCCAUUUGAGCAGCUGGAGUUCAUAGAUACCACUUCUCUUCAUUGCUAAGGUGAGGGAUUCUCUGUUUAAAUCCCAAACUAGUUUAGUACUAUCGUUAUGGAAAGUCUAGUUUCGAAACAUGAUCCGUCUCUGUGAAUCGAGUCUGUUUGAGAGUCUUGCUUGUUCACUGUUGUUAUUAAUUGUUAAACCGGAAAUAGGAUAAUAAAGGAUUCAACGGUUGAUUGAAAUGAUUGAUGUUAAGAACUGUUAAUUAUAUAUAUGUAUAUAUGUUAGUCCGUCUGUUGAGAUUGCGCGGUGCAGAGGUGAUUGCACUAGACCGCGGGAUUUACGGGGUAUAGAGACGUUUGUACUAGGCCGCCUGUUUGAGAGAUCACGGGGUACAAAGAUAUAUGUACUAGGCCGUGUGUUUAGCGGGGUACAUAGACGUUUGUACUAGGCCGCUUGUUUGUGGAUAUUGCGGGGGUUACAUAGUGGACUACUGUACUAGCUACGCCUGUAGAGUUAUAUAUAUAUAUAUCCUUAUGAGGAAAUGCUGUUAUCGCAUUGAUUGUAGCAUGUCUAGUCCACUAGAAAUAUGUGAUUGUUCUGUGUGGUGUGAUAGACACCGUGUUUGCUUCAUGCUAAAGCUAGGCCUACAUAGUUGUUGUUUUAUGAACUGAAUCAGUGGUUUGCGGUUUAGCAUCCCAUACCUCACUGGGGGACCCGGUCGCUCAUCCCUCCUUUUUUUCCCCUUUCAGGUGAGACCGACGAGCAAGAGUGAUUAUACUGGACCGGUGCUUUUAGGCUUUUACUACUAUCGAGCUUUGGACUUCUAUCACUCUUAUCAUUUUAUCGCUUUUGGGCCUUUGGGCUUCUAUCUAUCGUUUAUGUUAUUUCGUAUUUCGGACUUUCGGUUUAUGUCGUACUGUAUAUUUCAGAUGUUAUCGUUGUUGGGCCUUUAGGCCUUAUGGUAUCGUAUUGACUUUUAUAUUAUGAUAUGGAGAUUAUUAUUAUUAUUUCCGCUUGUAUUUAUUUAUUACUAGGAGGGUGUCCGCGCUUCGCACGAAAUAUUGUUUUAUUGUUCUUAAAUAUGUUUUUUAGGAUGAUGUGAUUAUGUGGUCAAUAUUUAUUUGUGAAUAGCAUUAUUUAGUGUGUUAUUGUGUUAUGUAGUAGUAGAUAAUAAGUUAAUAUAUUAUGUGUUUGUCUUUUUAAUAAUGUUUGUUGUGUGUAUAAUACUACUUGUUAGUGGUAAAGUGAGCUUCUGAUGUAAAACAUAUUGAAUUUCAAUAAUUUUGCAUUUAUGCAUUUGUUGAUUUUAAGAUUAACGGCUUCAAAAUUGUAUUUUAAUUUUUCACAUUUUUGAACAUUACUUUUUUAGAUGUCUUUUUUGCACUAUCUCCAUAUUUUGACUUUGAACCAUCACCAUCUAUGUAUUUCGUUUACAUUUCCGGUGUGCAGGGCUUCUCACCAUCACUGAGAAAAGACUCACCUCCGUGCUCUUGUUUUUUCUCACCUUCUUCUUCUGUGAGAUUAUCUGGUAUUUGUUAUAGAUCACGCAUAUUAGUUUCAUGUUGUGCGGCUGUUUCUUACGGUGUUGUAGGUUAUUACAGUCAAUAUUGGUCUUUUUUUCCUUAGAUUUUGGCUAAUGUUAGAAACUACAUCUCGUUGGGUUGAGUUAGAGUUUAUUUGUCUUCCUCGUUGUUGGUUUGCCGUCGAUAGUCUCUGCUGUUUUGGUUUUCAAGAUCUGGCUUUGGUGAUCUGGCUUUUGGUGGUUUGUUUUAUAGUUCGAGGAUGGCUCCACAGUUUGUUGAAUUAAUUUUGUCUCAUUUUAUCUCUUUGUUCUCUCAUCUCGUUGUUCCUUCAUCGCUGAUCACGUCUCUGGUGGCUCUCCCUUUCGCCAUAUUUGCUACUCCAGGGUUGGAUAGUGUUUUUCUCUAUAUAUGCUUUGUGCGCUUGGAAGGUUGUUUAUGGUCUCAAGCUUGAGCUCUUGUUUCUUGGUGGUUGGCUUCCGUUUUCCCUCACUCAUGUUGUUUAUUUUCUUCUCAUGCUUCCUUUGGUGUAGGUGUGCGGAGUUAGUCUUUUGGAUCUUUGGUUCCUUCUAUUCAGAGCUUUGUGGUUUUUUGCUGGCAUGAGUGUCUUGUAUGUGUUUGUUUAGUUUGUGAUGUGCUUCUUACCUCUUAGCUGGUGGUUGUGCUUCCGGUGCUUUAGGCAUGCGUCUUCUUGUUUCGUGGUAACUUUGUUCUUCCGAUGAUUAUUCUUUCUCUGACCCGUGUUUUUGGCUUUUUGCACUGGUGCUUGAUCGCGAUCCUUUAUAUUCUGGAGAUUGUUUUGUCUCAUAUUUUAUAUUUUUACUUUUUUCUGAGAUUUGCUUGUUCUAGUCAAGACAUUCUAUGGUAAGAUGAGAUAAGUUAGUCUUCUUUGUUGAUAUCUUUUCAGCUCCAAACCUUUAUUAAGUUAGUGUUACUAUGGUAUUUUUCUUUUCCUCUAUGAUUGUGGAAGUUUUAAGUUUAGAUUGUGUAUUGCACUCUAGUUUCUUCUUAUUAAUUUAGUCAUUUUAUAUUUUAAUAGUUAAAUAAAUAUAUGAUUUGUAAAUAAAAUAAUAAAAAUGGUAAAAAAUAAUAAAAUAACAAAAAUUUAUGUUAUUUUUAGUUGUGAAUAAUUUAAAUAUUUAAAAUAAAUUUUUAUUAUUUUAUUUAUUUAUUUAUUCAUCUUGAAUUUUAGUGAAAAAUAAAAUAGAUUAUCAAACUUCUUACAAUAAUAGAGUGCGAAAAACAUUAGAUAGUGCACAAUUAAAACGUAUUUGACCAAAUUGCAAUAAUCUAAAAGAAAAAGAAUUUAAAAUGUAAAAAAAAUACAUGGAUGACACGUGUCGCAAAACUCUUCUGCCACUUGUCAGAAGAAGGGAAAAAACAACUUUAUCUCGGAAGUGACGGGUGGCACAGAAUCACUGUAAAAAUUGAUUAGGACAAAAGAGUAACAUGACACAAAAGUAGAAAUAAUACGUUGAAAGCACAUACGCCAAGCCAAACAGUGUAGCGAGCGAUCAAACUUUAGAUCUUUCAUAAUCAAUAUUUCAUAAAAUAUUUUUUUUUGGGUUGAAACAUACCGUGAUUAUAAUUAGUGUUGCCUUUAGGAAUCAAGAUGUUAACAAAAAGAUUGAUCCGCGCACCCGUAUGAAUACUGAUUCUUACAUUUUUAUACAUUUGUAUUUGUUUUUUAUAAUUAGUCUUUCAUAUUUUUGAUGUGUAGUAGUAUAAUUAAUUGUAUUCAAAAGACAUUGAUCGAAUCGGUUAAUAUGAUUAUUUUUGGUACAAAUAUAUAAAUCCGUUUCAUAUAUAUUUGUUAUUUAGAUAUUUUUAGGUUCAUAUAAAUCAGAACCGAACUCAUUCAGACCGAGAAUGACUCAACUCAAAACUCACACAUAAAAAUUUAUAAUAUUCAAGCAUACCUAAUUUCAAAACUCACAUAAUAUAGAUCAUUUCUAAUAUAUUUUGUUAUAUACUAUCUUUGUUUUCUAUUAGUUGGCAAGGACUUUCACAAUUAUUGAAAAAUUAUUGAUUUUUACUUAUUUUGCAUUAAUUAAUCUUAGUUUAACCAAUAAAAAUCAUUCCAUAAAAUGCAGUUGGUUUAAAAACACUAAACAACAUUGAAGAUUUAUACAAAAGUAAAAUCUUAAAACACCAAUUAAAAUUAAACAUAAGGAGUAAUAAUUUAGGAUAGAUCUGACAGCUUAUAAAAUAUCAUUUUUUAAUUUUCUCUAUUUAAAUAUAUAAACAUAGAGAUUUGUAUAUUUUAAAAUAGAAAUGAAUCGGAAUAAAUCUAUUUUAAAUAUAACUAUAGAAAUAAAUAUAGUCAAUAGUCAUAAAUUGAAAAUGCUCUUACCGUCUAUAUCUUGACAUUUUUAUCCUCUCUUACCGUCUAUAUCUUGACAUUUUUAUCCUCUCUUACCGUAUUAAUUUGGUGAUAAUCUUGAGAAUGUAGAGAGACCAACAAAUAAUUUUUGACUAUUUCAAAAGUUGCACACUAAUCCUUACUCAAGCAUAUAUAUGUUUCAUUUUCUAUCCUAUCUACAUCUCAUGGUCCGAAAAUGAAGAACACUAAAAUGGCUGCAAACUGCAAAAUCGCAUAUGCUUUUGUUAUAGGUUUAUCGCUUCUAAUUGCCACAGCGGCCGAAGAUCCAUACAUAUUCUAUGAGUGGCACGUAACCUAUGGUACUAUCUCUCCUAUGGGGGUUCAACAACAGGUACUUGCUUUGCUUGCCUAAUCGAUUAUACAUUAGUUUUGUUAACUGGAUGAUUAUGUUUUAUUUCCUCUCCUUCCGCUAGGGUAUAUUGAUUAACAAGAUGUUUCCGGGACCUGAAAUACGCUCUGUCACCAAUGAUAAUCUCAUCAUCAACGUAUUCAACGAACUCGAUGAGCCUUUUCUUAUUUCAUGGUACGUAUCUAUUUGUUUUCCUUGUAAGUUCUUAGCUACUUUUUUGUACACCACAAUUUCAUAAUUUAUGUAUAUGAAACAUAUUUUCCUAUGUCAAUCACAAGGUAAUCGAUUAUCGCUCUGACGUGUCAUAUAUUGCAUCAUUUGUAAAUUAUCUACGUCCGCGUCUGUAUGGUGAUUGUUCAUUUCAUAUACGUGGGCUACCUGCCUACAUGCUUAACUUUUGUUAUUGUUUAAAAUUUGAACGAUCACUCGAUAAUUUCCACAAGCGCAAAUUCCACUCUUUAUAGGCCCAAAAAUCCUUUCACAAAAUAAUCCAUCUUUUUCCGGUUUAUUGGUUUUUAAAACUGAUUACGAUUUUUGUAUGAUUCCGACACAAGGGCCGGGAUACAAAACAGAAAGAACUCGUUCCAAGACGGAGUGUAUGGAACGACGUGCCCAAUCCCGCCGGGGAAGAACUACACUUACGUUCUUCAGGUUAAGGAUCAGAUCGGAAGCUUCUAUUACUUCCCAUCGCUUGGCAUUCACAAAGCUGCAGGUGGUUUCGGAGGUAUUCGUAUCUCUAGCCGUCCAAUGAUCCCCGUUCCUUUCCCUCCUCCCGCUGAUGACUACACUGUUCUUAUCGGUGACUGGUACAAGACCGAUCAUAAGGUAAUCGAUUCUAGCUCCAACGUUUGUAAUUCGAUGGUAGAUUGUGAUAACUUUGAAUGGCCAUCAUAAUAUUGUUGUUGAAUCUAUGAUUUAGAGGGAAAAUAAACAUUUUUAAGUUAAUACGAAUAAAAAUAAACAUUUUAUUGUUGUCGAAUCUAUGAUUGUGAAUUGUGAUAACCUUGAAUGACCAUCAUUUAUAGAAUUCUCUGUUGUGGUAGAUGUUCAUGAAAUACACAUGCAAUAAAGAUUGGACCGUUUGAUAUGCCGUUAAAGAAAACAAUAAGGAUCGUAUAUUCUUUGGUUUAUUCUUUUUUUUUUUGGUUCAAAUUAUAGAUAGGAACAAAUUUGUCCCCAAAAAGAGAGAUAGGAACAAUUUUUUUUGUUGGCAAUGCUGUUUGCUUGACGUAUAGUUAUACUACAUGCAGGGGCGGACGUAAGUACGGCGGUGCGGGCGUCCCUCCUACUGAUUUUUAUUUUUUCUUUGAUAGUUUAAUUUGAUUAAUCAAAUAUCGUUAGUUUAGUGAAGAAAAAUGUAAAAAUGCCCCCAUCAUAAAAAGUUUCUGUGUGUUUAUAAUAAAUAUAGUGCCCCAAUUAAGAAUCUUUCUAGAUCCGCCCUUGACUACCUGCUUGGAUUUUCUUAAUGAUGUUUAUGAAUCUUUUGUGUAGGCCUUGAGAGCGCAGCUCGAUAAUGGCGGAAAGCUUCCUUUACCAGAUGGAAUUCUCAUUAAUGGUCUUAAUAGUGGUGCUACACUCAACAUUCAACCAGGUCUAUUAUCUCUUUCUCUCCUCGUAUCUCACUCAUUUGUUAAUGGUAAUUUGCGCAACGUUUUGAUUGGUUCUGGUGUGAAUAUUUCCACAGGUAAUACAUAUAGGCUGAGAAUAUCAAAUGUAGGAUUGCAAAACUCUCUCAACUUCCGCAUUCAGAACCAUGAGAUGAAGUUGGUUGAAGUCGAAGGGACACACACUCUUCAGAACGUGUACUCAUCGCUUGAUGUUCACGUUGGUCAGUCUUACUCGGUCCUUAUAACGGCUAACCAGCCUGCAAAAGAUUACUACAUUGUGGUCUCUAGUAGGUUUACCCCAAAAGUCCUCACCACCACCGGUGUUCUCCACUAUAGUAAUUCUGCUGGACCUGUUUCUGGACCUAUCCCUGCUGCACCAAUUCCAUUGAGCUGGUCUUUUAGCCAAGCUCGAACCAUCAGGUACGUUUUUUAUUCUUCAACAGUUAUGUGCUUGUCACCAAUUUUGAAGAAAACCCCUUCAGUAUCCUUUAGAUUAUAAGCUCAUGUAGUGUUUUGCUAGCGUAGAGGAUAUUCAUGAAAUUUUGGCCUUAUAGCUUGGCGGUGUUUCUUCGUGUGUUAUAGGACCAACCUAACAGCGAGUGGACCAAGACCAAACCCACAAGGUACAUACCACUAUGGUAUGGUAAACGUCACUAGAACCAUCAAACUUGUUAGCUCUGCUGGACAGAUCGAAGGCAAACAACGAUACGCCGUGAACAGUGCAUCAUUUACCCCAUCAGACACCCCUUUGAAACUCGCGGAUUACUUCAAGAUAGAUGGCGUGUAUAAUCCUGGAAGCAUGUCUGACCAGCCCACAGAUGCACCAAUAUUCCCUGUCACAUCUGUCUUGCAAGCUGAUUACAAAGCCUUUGUGGAGAUUGUCUUUGAGAACUGGGAAGAUAUUGUCCAAAGCUGGCACUUCAACGGUCACUCUUUCUUUGUUGUUGGGUACGUAUUUCCAAAUUGUUCCCUCAUCUCUUUUCUAAUAUAUAUGUUAAACUGUCCGUGUUUGCAUCCACAAUAAGCUAAUAACUACACGCGAGCGGUAAGCUUAAUCAAAAGCUUUCUCUAACCAAGAAAGAACCCUAACACAUGCAAUUUAAUUGUUUUAACCAACUAUUGUGGACUUGGUCUAACUAUCAGAAUGGAGUUGGGAAAGUGGAGGCCUGACAGGAGAAAAAUAUACAAUCUAAACGAUGCAGUCUCACGCUGCACUAUUCAGGUGAAACUUUAAAAACUUUCAUAUUUUGAUCUCAAACAGUUGGAUAAAACGUAUAAGUUGGGCUUUGUGUCACAAGUGAAAUAUUGUUGGAUGAACAUGUGUAGGUGUAUCCAAGAUCAUGGACUGCAAUAUACGUAGGACUAGACAACGUAGGAAUGUGGAACCUGAGAUCGGAGUUCUGGGAAAGACAAUACUUGGGACAACAGUUAUACGUGCGUGUGUACACAAACUCGACUUCUCUCAGAGAUGAAUAUCAGAUCCCGACGAACGCUCUUCUAUGUGGUAGGGCUAGUGGAGCCCACAAAGGACUGCUUUUGAGUGGCUUUGAAAACUGAGAGCGAUAGAGAAUCGGUUAAACUUUUUUUUUAAUGAAUUUUGGGUAUGCCUUGUUCUAUUAUUUCUUCUUUGUUGUUGUUUGUCCGUUGUUUCAUUUGCUUCCCAAAUACGGGUGCUGAUUCUUUUUUUUUAAUAAUUUUAAGUUGUAAAAGUGAUUUAAGAUGCAACACUAAGCACCCCGAACAUUUUCGUGCUCCAAUGGAAAGUUCUUAUUUUGGGGUUUUAGAAAAAAAAAAUUAAAAUAUUAUUUUUUGAAAGAUGCAUUUUAUUUAUUAAAUAAAACAUAAAAAAUAAACAUUCAAACAUAAAUUCUAAAAUAAAAACAGAUUAUUUCUUUUUCAUCUUUGGGUGUCAUUUUGGUCAUUUUUUUAAAAAUAAAUGGUGUUAGUUAGGUCAUUUUCAUAUUUGGGUGUCGCUGUCAAAAAAAAAAAAACAUAUUUGAGUGUUAUUUUGGUCAUAAAAACAGUGUUUGGAUGUCAUUUUGAUCAUUUUCAAAAAAAAAAGUUGGUGCUAAUUAGAUCAUUUUCAUAUUUGGGUGUUAUUUUGGUCAUAAAAACAGUAUUUGAGAAAAAAAAA
This 17436-nucleotide long non-coding RNA is filed under the name Brassica napus (rape). Its description in RNAcentral is "long non-coding RNA (BNAP_LNC025322)". Lineage: Eukaryota; Viridiplantae; Streptophyta; Magnoliopsida; Brassicales; Brassicaceae. The record is from RNAcentral.